CAGCAGCCGCGGUAGUACGUAGGGUGCGAGCGUUAAUCGGAAUUACUGGGCGUAAAGCGUGCGCAGGCGGUUUCGUAAGACAGGCGUGAAAUCCCCGGGCUCAACCUGGGAAUGGCGCUUGUGACUGCAAAGCUAGAGUGCGGCAGAGGGGGAUGGAAUUCCGCGUGUAGCAGUGAAAUGUGUAGAUAUGCGGAGGAACACCGAUGGCGAAGGCAAUCCCCUGGGCCUGCACUGACGCUCAUGCACGAAAGCGUGGGGAGCAAACAGGAUUAGAUACCCCAGUAGUCCCUGUCUCUUAUAC
This 301-nucleotide ribosomal RNA is filed under the name uncultured bacterium. Its description in RNAcentral is "partial 16S ribosomal RNA". It matches the Rfam family "Bacterial small subunit ribosomal RNA", at positions 509 to 807 of the family's 1533-position model. The record is from RNAcentral.